Molecule: ribosomal RNA, 590 nt
Filed under: uncultured bacterium
Lineage: Bacteria
Description: partial 16S ribosomal RNA
Rfam family: Bacterial small subunit ribosomal RNA
Source: RNAcentral
UGGGGAAUUUUGGACAAUGGGCGCAAGCCUGAUCCAGCAAUGCCGCGUGCAGGAUGAAGGCCUUCGGGUUGUAAACUGCUUUUGUACGGAACGAAAAGCCUCUCUCUAAUACAGGGGGGUGAUGACGGUACCGUAAGAAUAAGCACCGGCUAACUACGUGCCAGCAGCCGCGGUAAUACGUAGGGUGCAAGCGUUAAUCGGAAUUACUGGGCGUAAAGCGUGCGCAGGCGGUUUUGUAAGACAGUGGUGAAAUCCCCGGGCUCAACCUGGGAACUGCCAUUGUGACUGCAAGGCUGGAGUGCGGCAGAGGGGGGAUGGAAUUCCGCGUGUAGCAGUGAAAUGCGUAGAUAUGCGGAGGAACACCGAUGGCGAAGGCAAUCCCCUGGGCCUGCACUGACGCUCAUGCACGAAAGCGUGGGGAGCAAAACAGGAUUAGAUACCCUGGUAGUCCACGCCCUAAACGAUGUCAACUGGUUGUUGGGGAUUUAUUUCUUCAGUAACGAAGCUAACGCGUGAAGUUGACCGCCUGGGGGAGUACGGCCGCAAGGUUAAAAACUCAAAAUGAAUUGACGGGGUCAUAGCUGUUUCCU